Molecule: ribosomal RNA, 810 nt
Filed under: uncultured Clostridium sp.
Lineage: Bacteria; Bacillati; Bacillota; Clostridia; Eubacteriales; Clostridiaceae
Description: bacterial SSU rRNA
Rfam family: Bacterial small subunit ribosomal RNA
Source: RNAcentral
GACGAACGCUGGCGGCGUGCCUAACACAUGCAAGUCGAGCGAUGAAGUUCUUUCGGGAACGGAUUAGCGGCGGACGGGUGAGUAACACGUGGGUAACCUGCCUCAAAGAGGGGGAUAGCCUCCCGAAAGGGAGAUUAAUACCGCAUAACAUUAUAUUCUCGCAUGAGAAGAUAAUCAAAGGAGCAAUCCGCUUUGAGAUGGACCCGCGGCGCAUUAGCUAGUUGGUGAGGUAACGGCUCACCAAGGCGACGAUGCGUAGCCGACCUGAGAGGGUGAUCGGCCACAUUGGAACUGAGACACGGUCCAGACUCCUACGGGAGGCAGCAGUGGGGAAUAUUGCACAAUGGGCGAAAGCCUGAUGCAGCAACGCCGCGUGAGUGAUGAAGGCCUUCGGGUUGUAAAGCUCUGUCUUUUGGGACGAUAAUGACGGUACCAAAGGAGGAAGCCACGGCUAACUACGUGCCAGCAGCCGCGGUAAUACGUAGGUGGCAAGCGUUGUCCGGAUUUACUGGGCGUAAAGAGUAUGUAGGCGGAUAUUUAAGUCAGAUGUGAAAUUCCCGGGCUUAACCUGGGCGCUGCAUUUGAAACUGGGUAUCUAGAGUGCGGGAGAGGAAAGUGGAAUUCCUAGUGUAGCGGUGAAAUGCGUAGAGAUUAGGAAGAACACCAGUGGCGAAGGCGACUUUCUGGACCGUAACUGACGCUGAGAUACGAAAGCGUGGGGAGCAAACAGGAUUAGAUACCCUGUAGUCCACGCCGUAAACGAUGAAUACUAUGUGUCGGGGGGUACCACCCUCGGUGCCGCAGCAAACG